AUUGAACGCUGGCGGCAUGCCUUACACAUGCAAGUCGAACGGCAGCACGGGAGCAAUCCUGGUGGCGAGUGGCGAACGGGUGAGUAAUACAUCGGAACGUGCCCAAUCGUGGGGGAUAACGUAGCGAAAGCUACGCUAAUACCGCAUACGAUCUACGGAUGAAAGCAGGGGAUCGCAAGACCUUGCGCGAAUGGAGCGGCCGAUGGCAGAUAGGUAGUUGGUGGGGUAAAGGCUCACCAAGCCGACGAUCUGUAGCUGGUCUGAGAGGACGACCAGCCACACUGGGACUGAGACACGGCCCAGACUCCUACGGGAGGCAGCAGUGGGGAAUUUUUGGACAAUGGGCGCAAGCCUGAUCCAGCCAUGCCGCGUGCAGGAUGAAGGCCUUCGGUUGUAA
This 397-nucleotide ribosomal RNA is filed under the name uncultured bacterium. Its description in RNAcentral is "bacterial SSU rRNA". It matches the Rfam family "Bacterial small subunit ribosomal RNA", at positions 29 to 428 of the family's 1533-position model. The record is from RNAcentral.